UGGGUGGUGGAAGGAUCAUCAAGUGAUUAAUUUAGUGCACAGAAGUUAGUUAGUUACACUUUUUUACACAGAUUCUCAAUCAUUUAUUUUAUCUAAAGCUAUGGUGCUGGUUUAGCACGCAAUUAGUCGCAACGAUAUAUAACAUUUUAACUAUCUAUACUUUUCCAAAAAUACAAAUAUCAGUAGUAUUGACAAUAUUAUCUUCAUUAAUGGCGGAACAAUGAAGAACGCGGCUAAACAAAAGGAGAUUGAAUUUCCUGCACUAAAGGUGGAACAAUGAAGAAAACAGGCAGACAAAAGGAGAUUGAAUAAACUCAUCAGAUGAAGGUUACUCGAAAUUUAAUCCACCAUAAAAAGUUUUACUUUUUUCAUAACUUAUUUGAGAUCUGAUAUACCACCACCACAUCACUUACAUAUAAUUAUCAUCAAUUGUCCUCGAAUGAAACUUUUUGGAAGUUCUUUUUUUUUUUUUUUAAUACUGUUAUACUUAAAUAUUACAAUUAAUAUUUACAAAUAGAUUAGAUAAUUGUGACCUUUAUCGUAGCAUGUACUCCUCUGAAGCACUGCCCAAAUUCUUUAAAUCCUCUUUAAUAUUUGAAGGGUGUCAAGACUGUCUCCACUCAAUUAUUUGAUAAUUGAAGGACUAAAACUAACCCGCAUAAUGUUGCCAAAUUCUUUAAACCAUCCACUCAAUUAUUUAAU
Molecule: long non-coding RNA, 702 nt
Filed under: Citrus x clementina
Lineage: Eukaryota; Viridiplantae; Streptophyta; Magnoliopsida; Sapindales; Rutaceae
Description: Citrus clementina (C. clementina) long non-coding RNA (CCLE_LNC005341)
Source: RNAcentral